Non-coding RNA from Paramuricea clavata, 176 nucleotides. The record is from the annotation of a GenBank genome assembly. NCBI's taxonomy places the organism in Eukaryota, Metazoa, Cnidaria, Anthozoa, Malacalcyonacea, Plexauridae.
UAUAAAACAAAUAAUGAAUGUUUUUAUUCGUGCAAUGGUAAGAAUAUUUUCAUUCGGUGAACGAUGGAAUGUUCCAUUCAACUCGGCUGUCGUCUCGCUGAAUGGAACAUUCCAUCUUUCACCUCAUGAAAACAUUCUUACCAUUGCACUCAUAAACAUUCAUUAUUUGUAUACUG